ACAUGCAAGUCGAACGGUAGCACAGAGAGCUUGCUCUCGGGUGACGAGUGGCGGACGGGUGAGUAAUGUCUGGGAAACUGCCUGAUGGAGGGGGAUAACUACUGGAAACGGUAGCUAAUACCGCAUAACGUCGCAAGACCAAAGAGGGGGACCUUCGGGCCUCUUGCCAUCAGAUGUGCCCAGAUGGGAUUAGCUAGUAGGUGGGGUAACGGCUCACCUAGGCGACGAUCCCUAGCUGGUCUGAGAGGAUGACCAGCCACACUGGAACUGAGACACGGUCCAGACUCCUACGGGAGGCAGCAGUGGGGAAUAUUGCACAAUGGGCGCAAGCCUGAUGCAGCCAUGCCGCGUGUAUGAAGAAGGCCUUCGGGUUGUAAAGUACUUUCAGCGGGGAGGAAGGCGUUGAGGUUAAUAACCUUGUCGAUUGACGUUACCCGCAGAAGAAGCACCGGCUAACUCCGUGCCAGCAGCCGCGGUAAUACGGAGGGUGCAAGCGUUAAUCGGAAUUACUGGGCGUAAAGCGCACGCAGGCGGUCUGUCAAGUCGGAUGUGAAAUCCCCGGGCUCAACCUGGGAACUGCAUUCGAAACUGGCAGGCUAGAGUCUUGUAGAGGGGGGUAGAAUUCCAGGUGUAGCGGUGAAAUGCGUAGAGAUCUGGAGGAAUACCGGUGGCGAAGGCGGCCCCCUGGACAAAGACUGACGCUCAGGUGCGAAAGCGUGGGGAGCAAACAGGAUUAGAUACCCUU
Molecule: ribosomal RNA, 745 nt
Filed under: Klebsiella oxytoca
Lineage: Bacteria; Pseudomonadati; Pseudomonadota; Gammaproteobacteria; Enterobacterales; Enterobacteriaceae
Description: bacterial SSU rRNA
Rfam family: Bacterial small subunit ribosomal RNA
Source: RNAcentral